Molecule: non-coding RNA, 491 nt
Organism: Triticum urartu
Lineage: Eukaryota; Viridiplantae; Streptophyta; Magnoliopsida; Poales; Poaceae
Source: RefSeq, a predicted model, not a curated record
UGUAGAGUCCUGAAACAUUUUCCUCACAGGGCGCCACCUUCGGAGAGGUGACAGAAAUGACUGACAUUUUUGAAGGAAGCAUCAUACGGCUAGUUAGGAGGCUGGAUGAAUUUCUGAAUCAGCUAAAAGCUGCUGCUGAAGCUGUUGGGGUGGUCAACCUUGAGAGUUUGCCAGCUAAAAGCUGCUGAAGCUUCUUGUUUCCCUUGCAUUUGUUAACUUGCACAGGGCAUGAUUGCUCUAUUGUCUAUUGUCUAGAAAAACUGAUCGCCUACCUGGGUGGCAUCUGCAUCGUGCUUGUCAGAUUAUUUGUGUGGUCAAAUGAAACGGAUGACAGUGGAAGCCAUGUUGUUGUUUUGUUUGUUCCCAGCCCUGACUAUGGUCGUCGAGCGAGUCCGGCAUGUUGUUCAUCUAGUAGAGCUUGUUAGGAGUCUGAAUCUAAGAACUUGUAGAGUUUGUUAGUAUUACAAUUGUAGAGCUUGUUACACUUGUAG